UAGCCAAGAUAAAUUCAUUAC
RNAcentral lists this non-coding RNA (21 nucleotides) under Arabidopsis thaliana (thale cress). Lineage: Eukaryota; Viridiplantae; Streptophyta; Magnoliopsida; Brassicales; Brassicaceae. The record is from RNAcentral.